UCCUCGUUUAAGCGAGGCAGUCUGUCCAGAGUGCUCCCCACUUUCAUGGGGGUGGCAACAGGACACAAGGGUUGCGCUCGUUGCGGGACUUAACCCAACAUCUCACGACACGAGCUGACGACAGCCAUGCAGCACCUGUGUACGCUGGUAUUGCUACCUCGUCAGGCUUUCACCCUUCUACUACGUACAUGUCAAGGCCAGGUAAGGUUCUUCGCGUUGCAUCGAAUUGAGCCACAUACUCCACCGCUUGUGCAGGCCCCCGUCAAUUUCUUUGAGUUUUAAUCUUGCGACCGUACUUCCCAGGCGGCACGUUUAACGCGUUAGCUUCGCCACAAAAGGGGUCGAUUCCUUUUACAGCAAACGUGCACCGUUUACGGCUAGGACUAC
This 387-nucleotide unclassified non-coding RNA is filed under the name uncultured Verrucomicrobiae bacterium. Its description in RNAcentral is "contains 16S-23S intergenic spacer region". The record is from RNAcentral. Lineage: Bacteria; Pseudomonadati; Verrucomicrobiota; Verrucomicrobiia.